CGCCAACCAGCUAGCCCACCUCAAUAAAACCAACAAUUCAAUAUUAAUAACCCCAAACACACCACCUUCCAAUAAACAAACCAUUUUUCCCCCCUAGUAUGGGCGACAGAAAAGGAAUAACGGAGCAAUAGAGAAAGUACCGCAAGGGAACGCUGAAAGAGGAAUGAAAAAACUCAGUGAAGCUUAAAGAAGCAGAGAUUUUACCUCGUACCUUUUGCAUCAUGAUUUAGUUAGUAUUACCCGAGCAGAGAGCACUUUAGUUUGGACCCCCGAAACUACGUGAGCUACUCCAAGACAGCCUAUUAAUAGGGCAAACCCGUCUCUGUGGCAAAAGAGUGGGAAGAACUUUGAGUAGAGGUGACAGACCUACCGAACCUAGUUAUAGCUGGUUACCUGAGACUUGGAUAGGAGUUCAGCCUCCUAGCUUCUCUAUUCACCACGGUCUCACCCCUACCGAUAUUUUAAGAAGCUAAGAGAGUUAAUCAAAGGGGGUACAGCCCCUUUGAAACAAGAUACAACUUUUCCAGGAGGAUAAAGAUCACAAUCACCAAAGGUAACAAUGCCCCGGUGGGCCUAAAAGCAGCCACCCUUAUAGAAAGCGUUAAAGCUCAAGCAUUACCUCAACCCAUACAUUUAGAUAACCAAAUCUUAAUCCCCUAACAUUAUCAGGUCGUCUCAUGCAAACAUGAGAGCGCACAUGCUAAUAUGAGUAAUAAGAGAGCACCCGCCUCUCUCCUCGCACACGUGUAAAUCGGAACGGACCCCCACCGAAACUUAACGGCCCCAAACAAAGAGGGAAGUGAACAGCAAGUAAGCAACUAGAAAAUCAUCCAACCAACAACCGUUAACCCCACACUGGUGUGCCCCCGAGGAAAGACUAAAGGAAAAAGAAGGAACUCGGCAAACAUACAUAAGCCUCGCCUGUUUACCAAAAACAUCGCCUCUUGCAAAAAUAAAGAAUAAGAGGUCCAGCCUGCCCUGUGACUAUAUGUUUAACGGCCGCGGUAUUUUAACCGUGCGAAGGUAGCGUAAUCACUUGUCUUUUAAAUGAAGACCUGUAUGAAUGGCAUAACGAGGGCUUAACUGUCUCCUUUUUCAAGUCAAUGAAAUUGAUCUCCCCGUGCAGAAGCGGGGAUGAGAACAUAAGACGAGAAGACCCUAUGGAGCUUUAGACACCAAGGCAUAUCAUGUUAACUAUACCUAAUUAAAGGAUAAAACCAAAUGAACCAUGCCCGUAUGUCUUUGGUUGGGGCGACCGCGGGGAAAUAUAAAACCCCCACGUGGAAUGGGAGUACUAACUCCUACAACCAAGAGCUGCAGCUCUAACAAACAGAAUUUCUGACCAACAAGAUCCGGCAAUGCCGAUCAACGGACCGAGUUACCCUAGGGAUAACAGCGCAAUCCCCUUUUAGAGCCCAUAUCGACAAGGGGGUUUACGACCUCGAUGUUGGAUCAGGACAUCCUAAUGGUGCAGCCGCUAUUAAGGGUUCGUUUGUUCAACGAUUAAAGUCCUACGUGAUCUGAGUUCAGACCGGAGUAAUCCAGGUCAGUUUCUAUCUAUGACGUGUUUUUUUCUAGUACGAAAGGACCGAAAAGAAGAGGCCAAUACUCAAAGCACGCCUCACCCCUCCUAUUGAAAACAACUAAAAUAGGCAAAAGGGCACACCCCUAAAUGCCCAAGAUAAUGGCAU
Molecule: ribosomal RNA, 1691 nt
Filed under: Amarsipus carlsbergi (amarsipa)
Lineage: Eukaryota; Metazoa; Chordata; Actinopteri; Scombriformes; Amarsipidae
Description: 16S ribosomal RNA
Rfam family: Bacterial large subunit ribosomal RNA
Source: RNAcentral